Molecule: long non-coding RNA, 1222 nt
Filed under: Capsicum annuum
Lineage: Eukaryota; Viridiplantae; Streptophyta; Magnoliopsida; Solanales; Solanaceae
Description: long non-coding RNA (CANN_LNC004519)
Source: RNAcentral
AUUACCCUCGGAUUCCUCUUUCUCCCACGGGAGUGGGAUUUCAAAAGAACCCCUCAAUUCAUUCUAUAAAAGAGCUCAUGAUUUAGCUGGAAAAGGAGGGGGAGCAGAGGUCGGGGAGGGAAAAAGAACCCAUUUGAGCAAAUUUAGUAAAUUUUCACUUUUAGUAAAAAAUUUUGAGAAGCGGUCGAAGCUUUUGAAAUCACGGCGAAGCUUUUCCGGUGGUGGUUGUGAGUCCGACGAAAGCUCGACGUCCUGUUUUGCUGCUCCCGAACAGGUAACAUUCCGUCGCCGUUUAAAUUUCGAUCGCAUUCUGCCUCAUCUCGCCGUUCUAUAGUCGUAAAUAAUUUUCGAUACUGUUUAUGUGCUGGGUUGUUUGCUGGUAGAGGCGUUAAGGGCCAUAGGUUUCUCUGUAAUUGUGAAGCAAGUGUCGGAUUAUUGUUGCGUUGGAUUAAUUUUUGUUUUAAGUUGUCUAAUGUGCGAUUUCUGUUGUCUCUGCCUCGACAUUGAUUUCGCCAUUUACUCUCGAUAUUGUUGGUUAAUCUUCGACUUAACAUCCCCGUCUUGGGUACUGCUUGUGAUUUGAAUGCUGGUUUCGUCAUGCUUCGAUUUUUUGAUUAAUGGUUUCGGACUGAUGGUAACUCAUUAUAGCUGGUUUGGUAGCUAAAUUUUCAUACUUUGAUUAAUAGUUUCGGGCUGCUGGUGCCUUGUUAAGGCUGGUUUCGUCGUUUAAAGUUUCGUGCUGUGAUUUUGUUUAAUAGAUUCGGUGAUGGUCUCAUAGUUAAAGCUUUUUUGCUUUGGUCUUGUUUAAUAGCUUCAGGUUGAUGGCGUCUAGUUCGUGGUUAGUAUUCGAUGUUGCCUUGUUUGUCGGGACUUCCUCUCGAGUUCUUUGGCUUCUCGAAUGACAAAGAAUGACGAGGAUACAUUAGACAAAAACUGACAAAUCUCAUAAUUCCUCGAUGACCGUUUUGGCUAUUAAAACUCGUUUUGAGUUUGUCAAAAAGAGGAUGAAGUUGAUAGUAGUGCCCUGCCAUUUCUCCUUUAGCUUUAUUUGCUAUGUCUGUCUUGUGUGGAUUUGAAUUUUCUUUUAUCCUUCUUUGCCUCUUGAGCUCGUUGCCAGUAUGUGGUCGAGUUGGGGAGAUGAACGCAAUAAUUGGGUAUCUUAGUAUGUCUAUUUACAGGGGAUAGUCUGAUUUUGUUUUCGCUAUGGGAAUGGAGCAUCACA